GAUGAACGCUGGCGGCGUGCCUAAUACAUGCAAGUCGAGCGAACGGACGAGAAGCUUGCUUUUCUGAUGUUAGCGGCGGACGGGUGAGUAACACGUGGAUAACCUACCUAUAAGACUGGGAUAACUUCGGGAAACCGGAGCUAAUACCGGAUAAUAUUUUGAACCGCAUGGUUCAAAAGUGAAAGACGGUCUUGCUGUCACUUAUAGAUGGAUCCGCGCUGGAUUAGCUAGUUGGUAAGGUAACGGCUUACCAAGGCAACGAUGCAUAGCCGACCUGAGAGGGUGAUCGGCCACACUGGAACUGAGACACGGUCCAGACUCUUACGGGAGGCAGCAGUAGGGAAUCUUGCGCAAUGGGCGAAAGCCUGACGCAGCAACGCCGCGUGAGUGAAGAAGGUCUUCGGGUCGUAAAGCUCUGUUGUUGGGGAAGAACAGAUGUAUAUGUAACUGUGCACAUCUUGACGGUACCUAAUGAGAAAGCCACGGCUAACUACGUG
Molecule: ribosomal RNA, 497 nt
Filed under: uncultured bacterium
Lineage: Bacteria
Description: partial 16S ribosomal RNA
Rfam family: Bacterial small subunit ribosomal RNA
Source: RNAcentral